UACGAGGGGGGCGAUCGUUGUUCGGAAUUAUUGGGCGUAAAGGGUGCGUAGGCGGUUUGGUAAGUCUGAUGUGAAAUCUAUGGGCUCAACUCAUAGUCUGCAUCGGAAACUGCCGGGCUUGAGUAUGGGAGAGGUGAGUGGAAUUCCUGGUGUAGCGGUGAAAUGCGUAGAUAUCAGGAGGAACACCUGUGGCGAAGGCAGAUCUCUGGGCCGUAACUGACGCUGAGGAGCGAAAGCAUGGGGAGCGAACAGG
RNAcentral lists this ribosomal RNA (253 nucleotides) under uncultured bacterium. RNAcentral's name for it is "partial 16S ribosomal RNA". It matches the Rfam family "Bacterial small subunit ribosomal RNA", at positions 524 to 776 of the family's 1533-position model. The record is from RNAcentral.